AACGUCAAACUACGUGAAUUGUCAAGCCAAGAAGAGGAUUGCAAGUCACUUUUUUGUUUCUUGGUUUAUUAUUCUCACUAUCAUUAUAAAUUAGACUUAAAAUAAUACAAAACGGUGUGUGUUUGAAUAACAUUUCUGUUAUAGUUGGUUUCUAUUUUCCUAAAAAAAUGUCGAUUAACGAUGAUCUUACUAGUCUUGAUGCCGGAGGCAAAAUAGUAAAAAUGGAGGUGGACUAUAGCACCACCUGUGAUGAAAAGAUCCCCUUGUGGAAAUCAUGGGCCUCCAAAGGCAAGGUUCAAGAAGCCAUCGACCAGCUGCUGGCGCUGGAGAAGCAGACACGAACGGGUGCUGACAUGGCUUCAACUGCCAGGAUUUUAGUUGCAAUAGUGCAAAUUUGUUUUGAGGCUAAGAACUGGACUGCACUGAAUGAUCAGAUUGUGCUUUUGUCUAAGAGAAGAUCUCAACUUAAACAGGCUGUUGUCAAAAUGGUCCAAGAAUGCUACACUUAUGUUGACAAAACGCCAGACAAGGAGACUAAGGUCAAACUCAUAGAGACCCUGCGAUCCAUCACCGAGGGCAAGAUCUAUGUGGAAGUGGAGAGAGCCAGGCUCACACACAUCUUGGCUAAGAUCCGGGAAGAUGAGGGCAAUGUGGCAGAGGCAGCCAAAAUUAUUCAGGAACUUCAGGUGGAAACGUAUGGCUCCAUGGACAAGCGCGAGAAAGUAGAACUUAUAUUGGAACAGAUGAGGCUGUGCCUUGCUAUCAAGGAUUAUGUUCGGACACAAAUUAUCUCAAAGAAAAUCAACACAAAGUUCUUUGAGGAAGAAAAUACUCAGGAGUUAAAAGAGAAGUUCUACCGCCUGAUGAUCGCCGUAGACCAGCACAAUGGAGCAUAUCUAUCCGUGUGUCGGCAUUUCCGGGCGCUGGGCGCUGCGGGCGGCGCGGACGCGCUCAUAGGCAGUGUGGUGUUCCUUGUGCUGGCGCCGUAUGACAACGAGCAAGCUGAUCUCACGCAUCGGGUGAAUGAGGACAAGGAUCUUGACAAGCUGCCUGAUUACAAGCAACUACUGGGUCUUUUCAUCAACCCUGAGAUCAUCAAGUGGAACAGUCUCUGCCAGCACUACGAGAAGGCGCUGCGAGCGACGCCCUACUUCGACUCGACCGACGAGAAGGGACAAGAACGGUGGAACGACCUUAAGAACAGGGUGGUUGAACAUAACAUUCGCAUCAUGUCGAUGUACUAUACGCGCAUUUCGAUGAAACGCAUGAGCGAGCUGCUAGGUCUCACCGAGACCGAAACGGAGGAAGCACUCAGCCAACUAGUCGUCAGCGCCGUCGUGAAGGCCAAGAUUGACCGUCCUGCCGGGGUCGUGCACUUCAGGUAACUAUCUUAGUCUAGUGGAAAGCUCGCCAUGAAACGUGAAAACGAGACAGCGUUACCAAGAGCGAGAUGGAAGAAGCUCUUAGCCAACUGGUCGUCAGUGCCGUCGUGAAGGCCAAGAUCGACCGUCCUGCCGGCGUCGUGCAUUUCUGCUUAAACAUGAACGCGUCGGACCGGCUCAACGAGUGGUCGAACAACCUCAACACGCUCAUGCAGCUCGUCAACAAGACCACGCAUCUCAUCAAUAAGGAGGAGUGCGUGCAUAAACAUUUGCUCGCCACGGCUGUUGAGUAAUACGAGUAUCUAAUGUGAAAUUAACAAUAAUUCUCUUAUAUCAGUUGGAUAAUCAUUAAAUUUUGAGGCAGUCACCCCCCUAACGUCGAGAAGCAAGUAGUUUUGUUGGCGUUUUUUUGCCAGCUAGAGUUUUCUUCUAGAAAGUAUGAUAUGUGCAUCUCUUUUAUUCAUUU
Molecule: RNA transcript, 1848 nt
Organism: Cydia fagiglandana
Lineage: Eukaryota; Metazoa; Arthropoda; Insecta; Lepidoptera; Tortricidae
Gene: Rpn5
Gene name: 26S proteasome non-ATPase regulatory subunit 12
Exons: 10
Source: RefSeq, a predicted model, not a curated record